Molecule: long non-coding RNA, 319 nt
Organism: Pygocentrus nattereri (red-bellied piranha)
Lineage: Eukaryota; Metazoa; Chordata; Actinopteri; Characiformes; Serrasalmidae
Exons: 3
Source: RefSeq, a predicted model, not a curated record
AAGCUUUUACUAGCAAGGGGUACCUAAUAAAGUGGCCGGUGCACACGACUUCAAAACAGGAGGGAAAGAGUGAAACCCGCCUGCAGCCGCAGCCUCUGCCUGCUUUUAUACUCCUUUGACGACUCGCCGUCAGCAGCUGGUUCCCACACGAACCCGGCCCGCCUGUUUACCUGUCCAGACUGUAAGGUGGCACAGAUAUGGUUGGACACCCACGGGACAGUGAACACCCUGAAAUUCGGCGUUUUCUGCCAGUUUUAAUGCACUGUUUCUACUUAUGUGCUGAGUUUAACAUAAAUCAUUUCCUAUAAAAGCUUCUGCA